CCUGGCUCAGGAUGAACGCUAGCUACAGGCUAACACAUGCAAGUCAGGGGCAGCAUGUGGUUGCUGCAACCAAUGAUGGCGACCGGCGCACGGGUGAGUAACGCGUAUCCAACCUUCCCCUUAGUAGAGGAUAGCCCGGCGAAAGUCGGAUUAAUACUCUAUGUUCUUCAAUGCGGACAUCUAAGUUGAAGCAAAGAUUUAUCGCUAAGGGAUGGGGAUGCGUCUGAUUAGGUUGCAGGCGGGGUAACGGCCCACCUGGCCUACGAUCAGUAGGGGUUCUGAGAGGAAGGUCCCCCACACUGGUACUGAGACACGGACCAGACUCCUACGGGAGGCAGCAGUGAGGAAUAUUGGUCAAUGGGCGCGAGCCUGAACCAGCCAAGUAGCGUGCAGGGAACCGACUGCCCUAUGGGUUGUAAACUGCUUUUAUCAGGGAAUAAAGUGAGGCACGCGUGCCUUUUUGUAUGUACCUGAUGAAUAAGGACCGGCUAAUUCCGUGCCAGCCGCAGC
This 510-nucleotide ribosomal RNA is filed under the name uncultured bacterium. RNAcentral describes it as "bacterial SSU rRNA". It matches the Rfam family "Bacterial small subunit ribosomal RNA", at positions 18 to 518 of the family's 1533-position model. The record is from RNAcentral.